GGGGAUGUAGCUCAGAUGGUAGAGCACUUGCUUAGCAUGUGAGAGGCACCAGGAUCGAUACCCAGCAUCUCCA
Transfer RNA from Selaginella moellendorffii, 73 nucleotides. It matches the Rfam family "tRNA". From Rfam's summary of the family: Transfer RNA (tRNA) molecules are approximately 80 nucleotides in length. Lineage: Eukaryota; Viridiplantae; Streptophyta; Lycopodiopsida; Selaginellales; Selaginellaceae. The record is from Rfam.